RNAcentral lists this unclassified non-coding RNA (2346 nucleotides) under Hevea brasiliensis (rubber tree). Lineage: Eukaryota; Viridiplantae; Streptophyta; Magnoliopsida; Malpighiales; Euphorbiaceae. The record is from RNAcentral.
CAUCGGGCAUAAACAGGCCCACCACGCCUGGAAAAAGCUGGGCUGGAAAGCCUCGAAGCCCUUAAACCCUAAUCCCUUGCUAUUCCCUGCUAAAAAUGUCAUUAACGCUAGUUUUACGUUCCAAUUAUAUUAAGCAGAUUGUCAGAAUUAAGAAACCCUGGUGACGCGCCACCCAAAUCCUGCCAGAGAAAUUCGGUUCUUGUAGCCGGACAAUUUCUCAAUUAUCAAACCGUGCACAUCAUUUAUCAUCUGUAAUUACACUUUCAAUGCAUGAAGGCGUCGCGUCCUUUCCAAUUCCUAAUUAGGAACGUUUCUCGAUGUUCACUUCAGGGACUAGCUUCCUUCUCCUCGUAUUCGUCUGCAAACCCUAGAUCACUCAAUUUCUCUACUGACGAAGAUGAUGUUGAUGUUGAAGUUGAAGAAGGCGGCAGCUCCGUUUAUCGACAUGCUCUCCGACAGCAGCGGCCAACCACCAUAAGAUGGCAACCUCAGCUGGAGAAUUCUGUCAGCUUUAUUGGAUGGGUUGAUCGGCCCCUGGAGGUUUACAAGACGAAAAACGACCACUUUGGGGCUUAUACCUUUAUCAACGUGAAAAACCCUGAUAAUUCAAAUCGCACGUUUAGGAUGCAAGUGGAGAUGUGGGAUGAUAUGGCAAAAAUGGGAAUCCAACAUCUUAAGCAAAAUGAUACUAUAUAUGUUUCGGGCCAUUUAGGUUCUUAUAAGAAGGCCGAUGGGAAUGGAAAUCACGUAUCAUGUUACAAGAUAAUUGUAAAAGACUUGUGCUAUGUUGCACAAUGUGAUCAAGGCCCAGUUUGCCAAAAACGUGAGGAAUCACAAUCAAAAGCCUUCCAAAAAUCAGCAGAAUCACAAUCAAAGCCCAGCGAAAGAACAAAGGAAUCAAAGUCAGGGAGAGGUAUCAGCUUUUAGCUAUUUGUUGAAGUAUAUUCUAAUGCAAAUGUCUAUCUCCCUUUUGCCUUGCUCAUGUAGUUGAUGUGAGGAUUCAAAUUAGAAACAAUUUGCAGUUCAACUAACAUAGGGGAUAACUUUAGAUGGAGUGAGUAUAUGAUGUGUGUUACUGACAAGUGAUGAAAUGUUAGAUACAGAAAAGGAGAGUGAGAAGACUAUCAUAGUAAUUAUUAUCCAUUUUCAGGGCUUUACUGUUUCUUUGCAUAUGAACAUAUAAGUAAUUAGGUCAGUAACUUUCCUGUCAGAAAUGUUGCCUUUUGCCCAACCUUAACAAGUAAUUUGAGCCUCAAUAUAUAUGUGCUAAGUAUGUUGGGAUAGGCCAAAUUGCCCAACCUGAACCUAUGUGAAUCGAGCUUGCUGUUUUAUUGGGAUGGUUUGACAUUAUUAGUAAUAUAGGCUAAAGUCUUCUUUAUUGCCUUUCUCUUAACAAUUUUGAGUUCUCUUUUUUCUUCCAUCCUUAUCUCUUUGUGUUUCUUGCAAUAAAUUCAGGUGAACUUGGCUUGGAAAGUCGCAAAGACCUUCUGUACUUGUGGCAAUUGUUCUUUUGCAAGCCAUAUGAAUGGUGGGAUAAGAGGAAGAAUAAACAAAAUUCAUCUUCACCAGAUUUUAAGCACAAGUAUACUGGUGAAAACCUUUGGCUGAGGCCAGAUGACCCACCAUGGGUCAAAAGACAACUGCAAUUGCUUGACUUGGAAAUGGCCAAGCAAAGGCAUGCACUAGGUGUAUGUGAAUUUGGCAUGGAAAGAACAAGCCAACUCCACUUGUGGCAUGUCUUUUUCAGAAGCCCACAUGAAUGGUGGGAUAAUAGGCAAAAUAAGAAAAACUCACGGUUACCAGAUUUUAAGCACAAAUUUUCUGGUGAAGCACUUUGGAUGAGUGAAGAUGAUCCACCAUGGGUCGAAAGGCAGCUUCAGCUUCAUGAUUCCAAAAUGGUCCAUGAGUCCAAAAUGGCAAAACAAUGCCAAGCGGAAAAUAUCUUCAAAUGGAAUUUUGAUGGUGGGGAACUAAUCUAGAGGAUCUUUAAUAUUAAUGGAGUUAUAACACAACGUAGUUGCAUUUCCUCUUGUUUGUACAUAUUGACUGAAUACAAUGUACCAAAAAUCUCAUUGAUUGCUUAUGACUAGACGCCGGAGCUGAUUUAUAUUAAGAAUGAUAUUGUUUUUGUAACAGAAUGUAAGGAAGCCAUGUAUUGUGGAAUGUGAAUACAAAGUUGCGUCAUUUUCUAAGGCAAGUUGUCCCUUCAUCUCAUUCUUGAUGAACAGGCCUUGGGCUUUUAUGCGAUAACGCUAAUGCUUCAAGACUCAGUUCAUAGAAAUGAAGGUCAACUAUCAUGUUUAGAAGGGGAAGUAAAGAAUUAGCAAAACAUGUUGAACUUCAUAA